GACGAACGCUGGCGGCGUGCUUAACACAUGCAAGUCGAGCGGUAAGGCCCUUUCGGGGGUACACGAGCGGCGAACGGGUGAGUAACACGUGGGUGACCUGCCCUCAGCUCUGGGAUAAGCCUCGGGAAACCGGGUCUAAUACUGGAUAUGACUCCAUGACGCAUGUUGUGGGGUGGAAAGCCUUGUGCGGCUGAGGAUGGGCCCGCGGCCUAUCAGCUUGUUGGUGGGGUGAUGGCCUACCAAGGCGACGACGGGUAGCCGGCCUGAGAGGGCGACCGGCCACACUGGGACUGAGACACGGCCCAGACUCCUACGGGAGGCAGCAGUGGGGAAUCUUGCGCAAUGGGCGAAAGCCUGACGCAGCGACGCCGCGUGAGGGAUGACGG
RNAcentral lists this ribosomal RNA (386 nucleotides) under uncultured bacterium. RNAcentral describes it as "bacterial SSU rRNA". It matches the Rfam family "Bacterial small subunit ribosomal RNA", at positions 28 to 414 of the family's 1533-position model. The record is from RNAcentral.